Molecule: ribosomal RNA, 483 nt
Filed under: uncultured bacterium
Lineage: Bacteria
Description: partial 16S ribosomal RNA
Rfam family: Bacterial small subunit ribosomal RNA
Source: RNAcentral
AUUGAACGCUGGCGGCAUGCUUUACACAUGCAAGUCGAACGGCAGCGCGGGCUUCGGCCUGGCGGCGAGUGGCGAACGGGUGAGUAAUGCAUCGGAACGUGCCCAGUAGUGGGGGAUAGCCCGGCGAAAGCCGGAUUAAUACCGCAUACGACCUGAGGGUGAAAGCGGGGGACCGAAAGGCCUCGCGCUAUUGGAGCGGCCGAUGUCGGAUUAGCUAGUUGGUGGGGUAAAGGCUUACCAAGGCGACGAUCCGUAGCUGGUCUGAGAGGACGACCAGCCACACUGGGACUGGGACACGGCCCAGACCCCUACGGGGGGCAGGAGGGGGAAAUUUUGGACAAUGGGGGAAACCCUGACCCAGCCAGGCCGCGGGCGGGAAGAAGGCCUUCGGGUUGUAAACCGCUUUUUUUGGGGAAGAAACCCUCUGGGUUAAAACCCCGGGGGGAGGACGGUACCGGAAAAAAAAGCACCGGCUAACUACGU